CAGUCGCCGCGGGAAUACAGAGGGUGCGAGCGUUAAUCGGAUUUACUGGGCGUAAAGCGUGCGUAGGUGGCUUCUUAAGUCGGAUGUGAAAUCCCUGAGCUUAACUUAGGAAUUGCAUUCGAUACUGGGAAGCUAGAGUAUGGGAGAGGAUGGUAGAAUUCCAGGUGUAGCGGUGAAAUGCGUAGAGAUCUGGAGGAAUACCGAUGGCGAAGGCAGCCAUCUGGCCUAAUACUGACGCUGAGGUACGAAAGCAUGGGGAGCAAACAGGAUUAGAUACCCCAGUAGUCCCUGUCUCUUAUAC
Molecule: ribosomal RNA, 301 nt
Filed under: uncultured bacterium
Lineage: Bacteria
Description: partial 16S ribosomal RNA
Rfam family: Bacterial small subunit ribosomal RNA
Source: RNAcentral